GAUGAACGCUGGCGGCGUGCCUAAUACAUGCAAGUCGAGCGAACAGAUGAGGAGCUUGCUCCUCUGACGUUAGCGGCGGACGGGUGAGUAACACGUGGAUAACCUACCUAUAAGACUGGGAUAACUUCGGGAAACCGGAGCUAAUACCGGAUAAUAUAUUGAACCGCAUGGUUCAAUAGUGAAAGACGGUUUUGCUGUCACUUAUAGAUGGAUCCGCGCCGCAUUAGCUAGUUGGUAAGGUAACGGCUUACCAAGGCAACGAUGCGUAGCCGACCUGAGAGGGUGAUCGGCCACACUGGAACUGAGACACGGUCCAGAAUCCUACGGGAGGCAGCAGUAGGGAAUCUUCCGCAAUGGGCGAAAGCCUGACGGAGCAACGCCGCGUGAGGGAUGAAGGUUUUCGGAUCGUAAAACUCUGUUAUUAGGGAAGAACAAAUGUGUAAGUAACUAUGCACGUCUUGACGGUACCUAAUCAGAAAGCCACGGCUAACUACGUG
This 497-nucleotide ribosomal RNA is filed under the name uncultured bacterium. RNAcentral describes it as "partial 16S ribosomal RNA". It matches the Rfam family "Bacterial small subunit ribosomal RNA", at positions 28 to 507 of the family's 1533-position model. The record is from RNAcentral.